GACGUAGGGCGCAAGCGUUGUCCGGAUUUAUUGGGCGUAAAGAGCUCGUAGGCGGCCUGUCGCGUCGACCGUGAAAACCCGCAGCUCAACUGCGGGCUUGCGGUCGAUACGGGCAGGCUGGAGUUCGGUAGGGGAGACUGGAAUUCCUGGUGUAGCGGUGAAAUGCGUAGAUAUCUGGAGGAACACCGGUGGCGAAGGCGGCAUCCUGGACCGAGAUUGACGCUGAUGCGCGAAAGCCAGGGGAGCAAACGGG
Molecule: ribosomal RNA, 253 nt
Filed under: uncultured bacterium
Lineage: Bacteria
Description: partial 16S ribosomal RNA
Rfam family: Bacterial small subunit ribosomal RNA
Source: RNAcentral